This 374-nucleotide ribosomal RNA is filed under the name uncultured organism. Its description in RNAcentral is "partial 16S ribosomal RNA". It matches the Rfam family "Bacterial small subunit ribosomal RNA", at positions 527 to 896 of the family's 1533-position model. The record is from RNAcentral.
GUAGGUGGCAAGCGUUGUCCGGAAUUAUUGGGCGUAAAGCGCGCGCAGGCGGUUCUUUAAGUCUGAUGUGAAAGCCCACGGCUCAACCGUGGAGGGUCAUUGGAAACUGGAGAACUUGAGUACAGAAGAGGAAAGCGGAAUUCCACGUGUAGCGGUGAAAUGCGUAGAGAUGUGGAGGAACACCAGUGGCGAAGGCGGCUUUCUGGUCUGUAACUGACGCUGAGGCGCGAAAGCGAGGGGAGCAAACAGGGAUUAGAUACCCUGGUAGUCCACGCCGUAAACGAUGAGUGCUAAGUGUUAGGGGGGUUUCCGCCCCCUUAGUGCUGCAGCUAACGCAUUAAGCACUCCGCCUGGGGAGUACGGCCGCAAGGCUG